RNAcentral lists this ribosomal RNA (253 nucleotides) under uncultured bacterium. RNAcentral describes it as "partial 16S ribosomal RNA". It matches the Rfam family "Bacterial small subunit ribosomal RNA", at positions 524 to 776 of the family's 1533-position model. The record is from RNAcentral.
UACGUAGGGUGCGAGCGUUAAUCGGAAUUACUGGGCGUAAAGCGUGCGCAGGCGGCUUUGCAAGACAGAUGUGAAAUCCCCGGGCUCAACCGGGGAACUGCAUUUGUGACUGCAAGGCUAGAGUACGGCAGAGGGGGAUGGAAUUCCGGGUGUAGCGGUGAAAUGCGUAGAUAUGCGGAGGAACACCAAUGGCGAAGGCAAUCGACUGGGCCUGUACUGACGCUGAUGCACGAAAGCGUGGGGAGCAAACAGG